RNAcentral lists this unclassified non-coding RNA (401 nucleotides) under soil metagenome. Its description in RNAcentral is "partial contains 5.8S ribosomal RNA, internal transcribed spacer 2, and large subunit ribosomal RNA". The stretch from base 1 to 121 matches the Rfam family "5.8S ribosomal RNA", at positions 35 to 154 of the family's 154-position model. The record is from RNAcentral.
GAUGAAGAACGCAGCGAAAUGCGAUAAGUAAUGUGAAUUGCAGAAUUCAGUGGAUCAUCGAAUCUUUGAACGCACCUUGCGCCCUUUGGCCAUUCCGAAGGGCAUGCCUGUUUGAGUAUCAUGAACACCUCAACUCUCAUGGCUCGCCAUGAUGAGCUUGGAUUUGGGGGUCUUGCUGGCCUGUGGUCGGCUCCUCUCAAAUGGAUCAGCUUGCCAGUGUUUGGUGGCAUCACAGGUGUGAUAACUAUCUGCGCUUGUGGUUUUCCAUCAGAUAACCUUCAGUGAUGGAGGUUCGCUGGAGCUCAUAAACGUCUCCCCUAAGCGGGGACAGCCCUUUGAAUGUUUGAUCUCAAAUCAGGUAGGACUACCCGCUGAACUUAAGCAUAUCAAUAAGCGGAGGA